GAGGACCGUAUUCAUGGAAGAGGAUUGAACAGAGAUGAAGUAGACAGUAUGUUGAAUAAAUCUGGAGUAAAGAACCCAGCAAUUGGUAAAGAUGAGAAUAUAUCGCCUCAAGUAAAAGGAGAUGAAGACAUGGGAGAUGAAAUUGACAGUAUGUUGGCUACAUCUGGAGGUCUUUUCUCCUGAGAACACGGGACUCCAGCAUCUUCGGAUUCUGCUCUUGGAGGUGUGAGUCCCUGCCUCUCUGCACAGGGGAACUUAUGUCUCUCCACAUGUCCGCAAAUGUCUACCCAAGAUUAUACAUCUUCCAAAGGCUUUCAAAUACUUCUUUACAUAAACAAGCUGCAUCAUUGGACUGAAAGUGAAUGGCCCAUGUGUUGCCACUGAUGUGAGCCAUUUGCCUGUUGUGCUUCA
Molecule: non-coding RNA, 411 nt
Filed under: Mus musculus (house mouse)
Lineage: Eukaryota; Metazoa; Chordata; Mammalia; Rodentia; Muridae
Source: RNAcentral